CCUACGGGGGGCAACAGUGGGGAAUAUUGGACAAUGGGGGCAACCCUGAUCCAGCCAUGCCGCGUGUGUGAAGAAGGCCCUCGGGUUGUAAAGCACUUUCAGUGAGGAAGAACGCCUGGUGGUUAAUACCCAUCAGGAAAGACAUCACUCACAGAAGAAGCACCGGCUAACUCCGUGCCAGCAGCCGCGGUAAUACGGAGGGUGCGAGCGUUAAUCGGAAUUACUGGGCGUAAAGCGCGCGUAGGUGGCUUGAUAAGCCGGUUGUGAAAGCCCCGGGCUCAACCUGGGAACGGCAUCCGGAACUGUCAAGCUAGAGUGCAGGAGAGGAAGGUAGAAUUCCCGGUGUAGCGGUGAAAUGCGUAGAGAUCGGGAGGAAUACCAGUGGCGAAGGCGGCCUUCUGGACUGACACUGACACUGAGGUGCGAAAGCGUGGGUAGCAAACAGGAUUAGAUACCCUGGUAGUC
RNAcentral lists this ribosomal RNA (465 nucleotides) under Vreelandella stevensii. RNAcentral's name for it is "partial 16S ribosomal RNA". It matches the Rfam family "Bacterial small subunit ribosomal RNA", at positions 338 to 795 of the family's 1533-position model. Lineage: Bacteria; Pseudomonadati; Pseudomonadota; Gammaproteobacteria; Oceanospirillales; Halomonadaceae. The record is from RNAcentral.